RNAcentral lists this ribosomal RNA (374 nucleotides) under uncultured organism. RNAcentral's name for it is "bacterial SSU rRNA". It matches the Rfam family "Bacterial small subunit ribosomal RNA", at positions 526 to 896 of the family's 1533-position model. The record is from RNAcentral.
CGUAGGGACCAAGCGUUGUUCGGAUUUACUGGGCGUAAAGGGCGCGUAGGCGGCAAUUCAAGUCAUCUGUGAAAUCUCCGGGCUUAACUCGGAACGGUCAGAUGAUACUGCUUUGCUAGAGUGCGGAAGGGGCAAUCGGAAUUCUUGGUGUAGCGGUGAAAUGCGUAGAUAUCAAGAGGAACACCUGAGGUGAAGACGGGUUGCUGGGCCGACACUGACGCUGAUAGCGCGAAAGCCAGGGGAGCAAACGGGAUUAGAUACCCCGGUAGUCCUGGCCUUAAACGAUGAAUACUUGGUGUCUGGAGUCUUUAAUGCUCCGGGUGCCGUCGCUAACGUUUUUAGUAUUCCGCCUGGGGAGUACGCUCGCAAGAGUG